Molecule: small nucleolar RNA, 72 nt
Filed under: Choloepus hoffmanni (Hoffmann's two-fingered sloth)
Lineage: Eukaryota; Metazoa; Chordata; Mammalia; Pilosa; Megalonychidae
Description: Small nucleolar RNA SNORD112 (ENSCHOG00000016137.1)
Source: RNAcentral
CAGAUCAAUGAUAAUAAUGUAUCAUGAACCAAGGAGUAUGGUUAAUUUAGCCCUCUGCCCCUGAGGUCCAAC